Molecule: small nucleolar RNA, 89 nt
Organism: Cynocephalus volans (Philippine flying lemur)
Lineage: Eukaryota; Metazoa; Chordata; Mammalia; Dermoptera; Cynocephalidae
Product: small nucleolar RNA SNORA40
Exons: 1
Source: RefSeq, a predicted model, not a curated record
UUCACAGACUGGUGCAAAACCUAAGUCCUCUCCUGCAACCGAGAAGUCAUUGUUCAGUGUGAGUUUUGAUAUAUAUAAGAAGGAAUACU